RNAcentral lists this ribosomal RNA (229 nucleotides) under uncultured Alicycliphilus sp. RNAcentral describes it as "partial 16S ribosomal RNA". It matches the Rfam family "Bacterial small subunit ribosomal RNA", at positions 548 to 774 of the family's 1533-position model. The record is from RNAcentral. Lineage: Bacteria; Pseudomonadati; Pseudomonadota; Betaproteobacteria; Burkholderiales; Comamonadaceae.
AGAGAUGCAUUGGGUUAAAGUGUGCGCAGGCGGUUUUGUAAGACAGAGGUGAAAUCCCCGGGCUCAACCUGGGAACUGCCUUUGUGACUGCAAGGCUGGAGUGCGGCAGAGGGGGAUGGAAUUCCGCGUGUAGCAGUGAAAUGCGUAGAUAUGCGGAGGAACACCGAUGGCGAAGGCAAUCCCCUGGGCCUGCACUGACGCUCAUGCACGAAAGCGUGGGGAGCAAACA